This 689-nucleotide ribosomal RNA is filed under the name Streptococcus oralis. RNAcentral describes it as "bacterial SSU rRNA". It matches the Rfam family "Bacterial small subunit ribosomal RNA", at positions 82 to 759 of the family's 1533-position model. The record is from RNAcentral. Lineage: Bacteria; Bacillati; Bacillota; Bacilli; Lactobacillales; Streptococcaceae.
CUCUUCUGGAUGAGUUGCGAACGGGUGAGUAACGCGUAGGUAACCUGCCUGGUAGCGGGGGAUAACUAUUGGAAACGAUAGCUAAUACCGCAUAAGAGUAGAUGUCGCAUGACAUUUGCUUAAAAGGUGCAAUUGCAUCACUACCAGAUGGACCUGCGUUGUAUUAGCUAGUUGGUGAGGUAACGGCUCACCAAGGCAACGAUACAUAGCCGACCUGAGAGGGUGAUCGGCCACACUGGGACUGAGACACGGCCCAGACUCCUACGGGAGGCAGCAGUAGGGAAUCUUCGGCAAUGGACGGAAGUCUGACCGAGCAACGCCGCGUGAGUGAAGAAGGUUUUCGGAUCGUAAAGCUCUGUUGUAAGAGAAGAACGAGUGUGAGAGUGGAAAGUUCACACUGUGACGGUAUCUUACCAGAAAGGGACGGCUAACUACGUGCCAGCAGCCGCGGUAAUACGUAGGUCCCGAGCGUUGUCCGGAUUUAUUGGGCGUAAAGCGAGCGCAGGCGGUUAGAUAAGUCUGAAGUUAAAGGCUGUGGCUUAACCAUAGUACGCUUUGGAAACUGUUUAACUUGAGUGCAAGAGGGGAGAGUGGAAUUCCAUGUGUAGCGGUGAAAUGCGUAGAUAUAUGGAGGAACACCGGUGGCGAAAGCGGCUCUCUGGCUUGUAACUGACGCUGAGGCUCGAAAG